UACGGGGGGGGCAAGCGUUGUUCGGAAUUACUGGGCGUAAAGAGCUCGUAGGUGGUUUGUCGCGUUGUUCGUGAAAACUCACAGCUUAACUGUGGGCGUGCGGGCGAUACGGGCAGACUGGAGUACUGCAGGGGAGACUGGAAUUCCUGGUGUAGCGGUGGAAUGCGCAGAUAUCGGGAGGAACACCGGUGGCGAAGGCGGUUCUCUGGGCCUUACCUGACGCUGAGGAGCGAAAGCGUGGGGAGCGAACAGG
RNAcentral lists this ribosomal RNA (253 nucleotides) under uncultured bacterium. RNAcentral describes it as "partial 16S ribosomal RNA". It matches the Rfam family "Bacterial small subunit ribosomal RNA", at positions 524 to 776 of the family's 1533-position model. The record is from RNAcentral.